Molecule: long non-coding RNA, 264 nt
Filed under: Elaeis guineensis (African oil palm)
Lineage: Eukaryota; Viridiplantae; Streptophyta; Magnoliopsida; Arecales; Arecaceae
Description: long non-coding RNA (EGUI_LNC047241)
Source: RNAcentral
UAGUGAGAUAUAUUAUGAUCUCCAUCAUAAUAUCAUCGAAACUCUUUUCGAUGGAUUGGAAUAUUUUCAAUUCUAUCCUUCGAGGGCCAUCGAUCAUCAAAGUGACGCCCGAUGAGUCUCACAAUCUACCAGUGACAUCUAGCAGUAUAUUAUGGUAACUCAAUAGAAUGAAAGUAUAAAUCUUUAGAUGCAAUUAUCAUAUGAUUCAGUCCUUCUAUUGUAAGUCUCGACUUGAUGGAGGUCAUGGAGAACUCGUCAGACCCC